GCCUUCGUGGUGUAGCGGUCAGCAAGCUCGACUCGUAACCGAAAGUCUGCGGUCCGAUUCCCAGCGAAGGCG
This 72-nucleotide transfer RNA is filed under the name Stegodyphus mimosarum. It matches the Rfam family "tRNA". Rfam says of the family: Transfer RNA (tRNA) molecules are approximately 80 nucleotides in length. Their secondary structure includes four short double-helical elements and three loops (D, anti-codon, and T loops). Lineage: Eukaryota; Metazoa; Arthropoda; Arachnida; Araneae; Eresidae. The record is from Rfam by way of RNAcentral.